AACGAACGCUGGCGGCAUGCCUAACACAUACAAGUCGAACGAGACCUUCGGGUCUAGUGGCGCACGGGCGCGUAACGCGUGGGAACCUGCCCUUAGGUUCGGAAUAACUCCCCGAAAGGGGUGCUAAUACCGGAUAAUGUCUUCGGACCAAAGAUUUAUCGCCUUUGGAUGGGCCCGCGUUGGAUUAGCUAGUUGGUAGGGUAAAAGCCUACCAAGGCGACGAUCCAUAGCUGGUCUGAGAGGAUGAUCAGCCACACUGGGACUGAGACACGGCCCAGACUCCUACGGGAGGCAGCAGUGGGGAAUAUUGGACAAUGGGCGAAAGCCUGAUCCAGCAAUGCCGCGUGAGUGAUGAAGGCCUUAGGGUUGUAAAGCUCUUUUACCCGGGAUGAUAAUGACAGUACCGGGAGAAUAAGCUCCGGCUAACUCCGUG
Molecule: ribosomal RNA, 433 nt
Filed under: uncultured bacterium
Lineage: Bacteria
Description: partial 16S ribosomal RNA
Rfam family: Bacterial small subunit ribosomal RNA
Source: RNAcentral